RNAcentral lists this transfer RNA (74 nucleotides) under Loxodonta africana (African savanna elephant). It matches the Rfam family "tRNA". From Rfam's summary of the family: Transfer RNA (tRNA) molecules are approximately 80 nucleotides in length. Their secondary structure includes four short double-helical elements and three loops (D, anti-codon, and T loops). The record is from Rfam by way of RNAcentral. Lineage: Eukaryota; Metazoa; Chordata; Mammalia; Proboscidea; Elephantidae.
UUCCAGGUGGUGCAAAUGGUUAUCGCACUUGGUUACCAACUGAGAGGUUGGUGGUUCGAGUCCACCCACUGAAG